UACGAGGGGUGCGAGCGUUGCUCGGAAUCAUUGGGCGUAAAGCGAGUGUAGGUGGUCAUAUAAGUCAGUGGUGAAAUCCCAGGGCUCAACCCUGGAAGUGCCUUUGAUACUGUAUGACUUGAAUGUGGGAGAGGGUGCUAGAAUUCCUGGUGUAGUGGUGAAAUACGUAGAGAUCAGGAGGAACAUCGGUUGCGAAGGCGGGUGCCUGGCCCAACAUUGACACUCAGACUCGAAAGCGUGGGGAUCAAACAGG
This 253-nucleotide ribosomal RNA is filed under the name uncultured bacterium. Its description in RNAcentral is "partial 16S ribosomal RNA". It matches the Rfam family "Bacterial small subunit ribosomal RNA", at positions 524 to 776 of the family's 1533-position model. The record is from RNAcentral.